GCCAGACUCCUACGGGAGGCAGCAGUGGGGAAUAUUGCACAAUGGGGGGAACCCUGAUGCAGCGACGCCGCGUGGGCGAGGAAGUAUUUCGGCAUGUAAAGCCCUAUCGGCAGGGAAGAAGAAAUGACGGUACCUGAAUAAGAAGCACCGGCUAAAUACGUGCCAGCAGCCGCGGUAAUACGUAGGGGGCAAGCGUUAUCCGGAUUUACUGGGUGUAAAGGGGGCGCAGACGGCGAUGCAAGCCAGGAGUGAAAGCCCGGGGCCCAACCCCGGGACUGCUCUUGGAACUGCGUGGCUGGAGUGCAGGAGGGGCAGGCGGAAUUCCUGGUGUAGCGGUGAAAUGCGUAGAUAUCAGGAGGAACACCGGUGGCGAAGGCGGCCUGCUGGACUGCGACUGACGUUGAGGCCCGAAAGCGUGGGGAGCAAACAGGAUUAGAUACCCUAGUA
This 447-nucleotide ribosomal RNA is filed under the name uncultured bacterium. Its description in RNAcentral is "partial 16S ribosomal RNA". It matches the Rfam family "Bacterial small subunit ribosomal RNA", at positions 330 to 792 of the family's 1533-position model. The record is from RNAcentral.